Molecule: ribosomal RNA, 324 nt
Filed under: uncultured eukaryote
Lineage: Eukaryota
Description: partial 18S ribosomal RNA
Rfam family: Eukaryotic small subunit ribosomal RNA
Source: RNAcentral
CCCUUAGAUGUUCUGGGCCGCACGCGCGCUACACUGAUACGUUCAACAAGUUUAGAACCUUGACUGAGAGGUCUGGGUAAUCUUUUGAAUGCGUAUCGUGUUAGGGAUAGAUUAUUGCAAUUAUUAAUCUUGAACGAGGAAUUCCUAGUAAACGCAAGUCAUCAGCUUGCAUUGAUUACGUCCCUGCCCUUUGUACACACCGCCCGUCGCUCCUACCGAUUGAAUGUUCCGGUGAGCUCUUCGGACUGCGCGGUCUGCAGUUUCUGCGUUCCGUGCGGAAAGUUGCGCAAACCUUAACAUUUAGAGGAAGGAGAAGUCGUAACA